This 755-nucleotide ribosomal RNA is filed under the name uncultured bacterium. RNAcentral describes it as "bacterial SSU rRNA". It matches the Rfam family "Bacterial small subunit ribosomal RNA", at positions 61 to 806 of the family's 1533-position model. The record is from RNAcentral.
GUCGAACGGCAGCACAAAGCUUAGGCUGAGGUGGCGAGUGGCGAACGGGUGAGUAACGCGUCGGAACAAACCGAGUAAUGGGGGAUAACGCAGCGAAAGUUGUGCUAAUACCGCAUAAUCUUUGAGAAGGAAAGCUAGGGACCAGCAAUGGCCUGGCGUUAUUCGAUUGGCUGGCGUCUGAUUAGCUAGUUGGUGGGGUAAAAGCUCACCAAGGCAACGAUCAGUAGCGGGUCUGAGAGGACGAUCCGCCACACUGGGACUGAGACACGGCCCAAACUCCUACGGGAGGCAGCAGUGGGGAAUUUUGGACAAUGGGCGAAAGCCUGAUCCAGCAAUGCCGCGUGUCUGAAGAAGGCCUUCGGGUUGUAAAGGACUUUAGUCUAGGAGCAAAGCCUAUUGGUAAAUAGCCAAUGGGGCUGAGAGUACUGGAAGAAUAAGCACCGGCUAACUACGUGCCAGCAGCCGCGGUAAUACGUAGGGUGCGAGCGUUAAUCGGAAUAACUGGGCGUAAAGAGUGCGUAGGCGGUGAGACGAGCUCGAUGUGAAAUGCCUGGGCUUAACCUAGGAAUGGCAUUGAAGACAGUUUGACUAGAGUCUGUCAGAGGGGGGUAGAAUUCCACGGGGAGCAGUGAAAUGCGUAGAGACGUGGAGGAAUACCGAUGGCGAAGGCAGCCCCCUGGGAUAAGACUGACGCUGAGGUACGAAAGGCGUGGGGAGCAAACAGGAUUAGAUACCCUGGUAGUCCACGCCCUAAC